This 429-nucleotide ribosomal RNA is filed under the name Gemmatimonadota bacterium. RNAcentral describes it as "Gemmatimonadetes bacterium partial 16S ribosomal RNA". It matches the Rfam family "Bacterial small subunit ribosomal RNA", at positions 355 to 776 of the family's 1533-position model. The record is from RNAcentral. Lineage: Bacteria; Pseudomonadati; Gemmatimonadota.
UAGGGAAUCUUCGGCAAUGGACGAAAGUCUGACCGAGCAACGCCGCGUGAGUGAAGAAGGUUUUCGGAUCGUAAAACUCUGUUGUUAGAGAAGAACAAGGACGUUAGUAACUGAACGUCCCCUGACGGUAUCUAACCAGAAAGCCACGGCUAACUACGUGCCAGCAGCCGCGGUAAUACGUAGGUGGCAAGCGUUGUCCGGAUUUAUUGGGCGUAAAGUGAGCGCAGGCGGUUUCUUAAGUCUGAUGUGAAAGCCCCCGGCUCAACCGGGGAGGGUCAUUGGAAACUGGGAGACUUGAGUGCAGAAGAGGAGAGUGGAAUUCCAUGUGUAGCGGUGAGAUGCGUAGAUAUAUGGAGGAACACCAGUGGCGAAGGCGGCUCUCUGGUCUGUAACUGACGCUGAGGCUCGAAAGCGUGGGGAGCAAACAGG